Molecule: long non-coding RNA, 594 nt
Organism: Peromyscus eremicus (cactus mouse)
Lineage: Eukaryota; Metazoa; Chordata; Mammalia; Rodentia; Cricetidae
Exons: 5
Source: RefSeq, a predicted model, not a curated record
GUUCCGCCAUGUUGCGGGCUCGGUGGCUCCCUGAGUGCUGGCUACUCUCCUGAUCCGUGUGCUGGGCUGUGACCCGCUGCCGAGAGCUUUGAGGAGAGCGGGGCGAGCUCGGAAUCCGCGAUGGCUACAAAUGGGAAGACCACAACAUCGAAGAACAUUGUCAAAAUUCUAGAAGACAUGAAAGGUGUAUCAUUAUCUGUCACUCUGGAUACAAACCAUGUGAUCCUGAGCAGCAUGAAAAGAAGCAAUGUACUGCUCUUUCUUCCAGAACAGUUAGAAAAUAUGUAGUAGUCCUCACUAUGCAUAGACUUGACAGGAUUUCUCUAUGAAACAGUCCUGCUUGUCCUGGAACUCGCUCUGUAGACCAGGCUGGCCAUGAACUAAAAGAGAUCCAUCUGCAUUUGCCUCCAGAGUGCUGGGAUUUAAGGCGGGAGCCACCACCGCCUGGCCAAAGGAUGCUCAUGCAUGAAAUGACAAUUACACUUAUUUACAACAUCUCAAAUCAAAACCACCCUGGAUAUCCUGCAUUUAAAAAAUACAAAGGGGGAGAUGGCACCACUGGAAUGGAGUACUUAUUGUGAACAGAUUUCUGAG